RNAcentral lists this ribosomal RNA (433 nucleotides) under uncultured bacterium. Its description in RNAcentral is "partial 16S ribosomal RNA". It matches the Rfam family "Bacterial small subunit ribosomal RNA", at positions 29 to 507 of the family's 1533-position model. The record is from RNAcentral.
AGCGAACGCUGGCGGCAGGCUUAACACAUGCAAGUCGAACGCAUCCUUCGGGGUUAGUGGCAGACGGGUGAGUAACACGUGGGAACGUACCCUUCGAUCUGGGAUAACUUCGGGAAACUGGAGCUAAUACCGGAUACGCCCUUUUGGGGAAAGGUUUACUGUCGAAGGAUCGGCCCGCGUCUGAUCAGCUAGUUGGUGGGGUAACGGCCUACCAAGGCGACGAUCAGUAGCUGGUCUGAGAGGAUGAUCAGCCACACUGGGACUGAGACACGGCCCAGACUCCUACGGGAGGCAGCAGUGGGGAAUAUUGGACAAUGGGCGCAAGACUGAUCCAGCCAUGCCGCGUGAGUGAUGAAGGCCUUAGGGUUGUAAAGCUCUUUUGUCCGGGACGAUAAUGACGGUACCGGAAGAAUAAGCCCCGGCUAACUUCGUG